Hirundo rustica (Barn swallow) is the source of this 3645-nucleotide long non-coding RNA. RefSeq lists it as uncharacterized. Lineage: Eukaryota; Metazoa; Chordata; Aves; Passeriformes; Hirundinidae. The record is from RefSeq and is a predicted model, not a curated record. The transcript is spliced from 3 exons.
CUGGGAUGGACACGGAUAAGGGGCUGCCUGCGACUCCUCAGCCAGGGGCUGCUCUGAACAGGCACCCGGAGAUGCUUCAGCCUGGACAGACCCCACCCACAGCCCAAAAUUACCCCGAGGAACAGCUGGCAUUACCCGGGAAUGUCGGCACGGUGCGUUCGCUCAGGUAGCAAUUCUCGGUGCCGAGCUCCCGGAGGCCCCGCACGCCCCCAGUUCCCCGGUGAGAAGAACACAAACUCAGAGCCAUCAAGCCUGACAGUUCCCUGCAGCGAGAGCUCAGCACACGUCCACAGGGACAAGUCAAGCAUCUGAAAGAAAGAAAGAGAGAAGAAAAAGGUCAACAAGGCUUCCCUGCAGUGUUAUGCUCUGUGCCUGAGAGUGGCAGCACACAGUGUGCUAAUGUGGCUUUGUUGGUAUCAGCACUAAAUUCCUACCUGGCAUCUGCUGUGACUACAGGAUCUGCUCGAGUGACCACAGGUCCCAGUCCACCUUAGAGUCUUGCAUGGGGGUGAGUUCAGUACAGGGGAACUGUCUGAGGCACUCCAUCCUCAGGCUUUCCACCCUCACCAGGUGUGGGUGGUCCUUUCUAAUUCCCUUCUGAUACCAAUACAGAAAAAGCAUCACAAUGGCCUUACAGAACUGCCUGGUCUCUUAAACAGAGUGCCAGUGAAUUCCAGGAGCUUGCAAAGUAUAAUCUCUAUGAUAGGCCCUUUCUUUGAUACACCUUCUACCCCACUGCAAACACAAGUUUUGGGUUCCCCUCCCCACCUAGCUGUCAUCCAGCUGUCCAGAUAAUCAAUUCCAAAGCUUUGCCCCUCAGCCUCCAUUCUGCACCACCUUCCAUGCCUUAAAUCCAGCAGACUCCUGGUCCCCCCAGCAGCUCAGAAGCCCCAGUUCUAACUGGUCUCAGGGGAAAUUGUUUGGGAUGGUGACACUGCUGGUGCUGGCCACAGAGGAGCACAGUCCCAAGCCCUGGGAUCUCUGCCGGAGCCUGUGCCGAGUGCUGUCCCCACACUGAGCACUCAGUGUGGCAACCAGAGGCGUGCCUGACCCUGGAGCUCCUGGCUUAUCCACAGGAGUCAGGCACUAGUUAUCCUGGCAAGGAUAACUACAAACCAAACCCAAGAUAACAGGUAAUAUAGAGAAUGGAGAACAUGAAGGAAGGGAUGAGCUGCUCCAUCUCCAGCAAGGAAAGGGCAGUUCUUAUAAUUCACUGGCUGCUCUGCACAUUGAGUAAAUAGAAAAAAGAAAAGCACAAGGUAAACCCAAACAACCAAAACACACACACACAAAAACCCCCCAAACCAGACAACCUACCUUGAAUGGUGGCUGUAUAUUAGGCACUGAGUAUUCUCUACUUUGGUGAACAAUGCAGGUCCUUAUUCAGACCCAGCAGCAGACCAGCACUGUCAGCACUGACUCCUCAUGCCUGAUACUGUUUAUGUCCUAAACUCUCAGCAGAGUUUCAUCUUGACAAAAUCUAUCCCAAUCUAGCCCACAGAUUCCUUCCCUGGUACCGCUGUCCAUGGUAUGUUGUGCUGUCAUUUUCUUUGCCAUGAGAAUGAACACCAAUUAGUUCAAGAAAUUUUGGAAACAUCCCCCAUAUCCUAUUAUUCUCCUAACGGUAAUUGCCCAGGCCCAGGGCAGAAGCAAAGUGGUCUAAAUUAAGGAAGCCAUGAGAAUAAACUGUGAAAGGUGAUGAAUUUUUCCAGGGAAUAGAGGUGGGUCUCUUAUACUUCAGCAAGUUUGUGAUUUGAGUGGAGUGCAGAAAGAGGAAAGGCACAGCGAGAGAACAGCAGCAGUGGAGGGAAAGUGGCCCACAAGUGCUGCUUUGCCAAUUGUACCUCAGUGUGGCAACAUCACAUCUUGCUGGUGGUUUCCAAGAAUGGCCAGGACACGUAUUUGUAUUCCCAGAGCACAGGGAACCCCUUCAGAAUUGCUUCCAUAACCAGCUGGUCUGACAAAUAGGUGUGUGAAAGAACACUGUUAUAUGUGUAUACUCCAACACAAACACCCAGGAAGCGCAGCCUGCCCUGCAUUAGGAACCCUCUAAUCAUGUGCAAAUGAGAGCAAUUCACUGCCAAAGUGUGAUGCUGGGGGUUGCCGGUUUGCAAAUCGAAAACUCUUUAAUUCACACUAACCCAGAACACAGUUCCAAUUUGAUAUGAAGAGAGGAUGAUUUCAUGAUGAGGACUAUCAGAUUCUGAAGCAUUUCGCCCACAGAGAAACUCCCUCCUGGGAGGUUGUCAGCAACACUCAGCAACCUGUUCAAAGUUCAGUGUUGAGCCAGAGAUGGGACUGAAGACAUUUGGAGGCCCUUCCUCCCUGCCUGAUCCUGUGCUAAUCCCCACCUUUUCUGCACAGCCAUUCUGAAAUGGAGGGCUUCUUCCUGUAUUAUUUGGUGGAUACACAUUUUUGGGGCACAAGGACUGCUCCUUGAGCUGACAAAGCACAGAUAAAGUAACUUUCUCCUUCUCUCACCUAUCCGACUGCCACAGCAAAUCUUGGGCUCCUGCAGGUGGCCAGACAACCCUGUCAGGGCUUAUAAAUGCAUUUGGGAUUAUCUCCUCAGAAGAAUGUGUUCUUUGGCUGAUCUGAUCACCAGAAAUUGGCACUUGAUUCUGCCUCGAGUUGUGUGGUAUUAAAGCUUCAGUGGACACCUACUUUUUCAAAGCUCCAAAACAUUUGCUGCCAUUUUCAAUCCUCAAAGCUUUCAGUUCUAUAAAAUGCUAUCGGUUCUGUUCUCCAAUUAUUAUCUCCUUCCUUGUUUGGUUUCUCCUCAAGGUGCUGCUGAGAAGUGGUGGAAUACAGGUACAGUCCCAGGUGAUGCCAGCUACAUCUUCACUGCUUUCAAGUGCCAAAGGCUCCCUUAGGUUAAGUACAAAUUCUGCUUGAUGCCCUUUGGAAAGCUUGGUCACACUAAGCAAAGUUUGUCUCUGCUCACAGGUGUGUUAUAAAGAUGCUGCCUCAUGACAACUGCAGUUCAUCAGGUUCCAGGCCAGCUCUCUGCAAAUGGUAACCUCAAAGGCACAGCAUGGUCACAGAUGGAUCACUGCAGUAUAAAUCAUUCAUACAGAAAAAGCUUUCAUUAGAAGAGAAAGAUCAAGCAUUCAAACGGCUCUCCCAGCACAUGGAAAUGAAGUUUAGGAUCUACAUUAAAAACCAGUUGGUGAAACCAGUUCAACUUUUUUAUUUAGUACUAAUGCAGUGUUUGUCCUGGUAAUACCACAAAGCAUAACCACUUCAAACAGGUGAGGUUUCAUGGAGUCCUCCACUCUUGGAAGUGUCUACAUCCUAACACCACAGCCCAGUGCAAACCCAAACUUGCUAUAUACUGGGAUGUGCAAGCAGCAACUCAGCUGUGUGAGGAUGGUUUGCACCAGCAAUGCAGGGGACUUGCAAAGCUCCAGCUGCAUGUAGCAUCCCUCUGCAAAACCCACAUAAUGUUUUAUCUCUGCCAGGACAGUCAGAUUUCAGUGUUUUCUGCAUAUAGAUUCUAAAAGUGUCUAUCACCACAGUGCUUCACAAUUGAUCUGGUUUUUACCUUGCAGGCUUGGAGAUUCCAUGUGUCAAGAUGAUCUAGCUGAGGUAACAGAUGACUUGGAUGUUUCAAAGAGUUCUUGCUAAUGUCCCUCAUAAAACCAG